This is a long non-coding RNA of Mus caroli (Ryukyu mouse), 317 nucleotides long. RefSeq lists it as uncharacterized. The record is from RefSeq and is a predicted model, not a curated record. Lineage: Eukaryota; Metazoa; Chordata; Mammalia; Rodentia; Muridae.
CUCCGGUUCUAACAGAAGCCUCCUAACCCUGCAUAGGUUAUGGGCUAGGAUCCCCCACCUGUCACUCAGAAUCAUCUGCUAUAAUGAAUGAGGAGCCCACUGCUAGCCCCACUUCAUCACCUACAACGUAAACCCCAUCUGCUUCAAAACUCUCAUGUAAUCAGAGCUGAUACGGAAUGUGACUGCCAGCAAAGGAUGACUGUUAAUCCUGAGAUUCUCGAGAACAAAAUCAGUUUCACAAUUUUUAGACAAAUUUGAAUAGGUCCUGUCCUUCCUCUAUAGACAAGCAGGAGCUGACCUGGGGAUGACGCUUCUAG